This 1396-nucleotide ribosomal RNA is filed under the name metagenome. Its description in RNAcentral is "bacterial LSU rRNA". It matches the Rfam family "Bacterial large subunit ribosomal RNA", at positions 1461 to 2925 of the family's 2925-position model. The record is from RNAcentral.
CCUAAAAGGUGACGGAGAGGUGUAGUGCACGCGUACUGACGGAAUAGUACGUUGAACCAUUCGGGAGGAUGGGAUAGUACACUGAGUCCACUGGACGAGGUGAUAGUUGCAUGAAGCCGCUUCCAAGGAAAGCCGAAUUAUAACAGCCCGUACCGUAAACCGACACAGGUGGUCGAGUCGAGUAGACUAAGGCGCUCGAGUGAUUCACGGCUAAGGAAUUCGGCAAAAUGGUCUCGUAACUUCGGGAGAAGAGACCCCCGCGCAAGUGGGGCGCAGUGAAUAGGUCCAGGCGACUGUUUAGCAAAAACACAGGACUCUGCGAAAUCGAAAGAUGAAGUAUAGGGUCUGACACCUGCCCGGUGCCGGAAGGUUAAGGAAGGGGGUUAGUCGCAAGGCGAAGCUCUUGACUGAAGCCCCGGUAAACGGCGGCCGUAACGAUAACGGUCCUAAGGUAGCGAAAUUCCUUGUCGGGUAAGUUCCGACCUGCACGAAUGGUGUAACGAUCUGGACGCUGUCUCGGCCGUGAGCUCGGUGAAAUUGAAGUAUCGGUGAAGAUGCCGAUUACCCGCAACGGGACGAAAAGACCCCGUGAACCUUUACUAUAGCUUCACAUUGUGUUUGAGUAUAGGAUGUGUAGGAUAGGUGGGAGGCUAUGAAGCUGGCACGCUAGUGUUGGUGGAGCCGCCGUUGAAAUACCACCCUUUCUAUACUUAGAUUCUAACUUUCGAAAGAGAGGACAGUGUGUGGUGGGUAGUUUGACUGGGGUGGUCGCCUCCUAAAGAGUAACGGAGGCUUGCAAAGGUAUCCUCAGCAUGGACGGUAACCAUGCGAAGAGCGUAUUAGUAAAAGGGUGCUUGACUGAGAGAACGACGGUUCGAACAGGGACGAAAGUCGGCUAAAGUGAUCCGGUGUUUCCGCAUGGAAGGGACAUCGCUCAAAGGAUAAAAGGUACUCCGGGGAUAACAGGCUGAUCUCCCCCAAGAGCUCACAUCGACGGGGAGGUUUGGCACCUCGAUGUCGGCUCGUCACAUCCUGGGGCUGGAGAAGGUCCCAAGGGUUGGGCUGUUCGCCCAUUAAAGUGGCACGCGAGCUGGGUUCAGAACGUCGCAAGACAGUUCGGUCUCUAUCUGUUGUGGGCGUAGGAGUAUUGAGGAGGUCUGACUCUAGUACGAGAGGACCGGGUUGGACGCACCUCUGGUGUACCAGCUGUGCUGCCAGGUGCAGUGCUGGGUAGCUAUGUGCGGUCAGGAUAAGCGCUGAAAGCAUCUAAGCGCGAAGCCGUCUCCAAGAUGAGUACUCCAUUGAGGGUCGUGGAAGAUGACCACGUUGAUAGGCUACAGGUGUAAGUGCAGUAAUGUAUUGAGCCGAGUAGUACUAAUUACCCGACAGCUUCCAU